This 503-nucleotide ribosomal RNA is filed under the name uncultured bacterium. RNAcentral's name for it is "partial 16S ribosomal RNA". It matches the Rfam family "Bacterial small subunit ribosomal RNA", at positions 28 to 523 of the family's 1533-position model. The record is from RNAcentral.
GAUGAACGCUAGCGACAGGCUUAACACAUGCAAGUCGAGGGGCAGCAUAGAAGUAGCAAUACUUUGGUGGCGACCGGCGCACGGGUGAGUAACGCGUAUGCAACCUACCUAUCAGAGGGGAAUAACCCGGCGAAAGUCGGACUAAUACCGCAUAAAACAGGGGCACCGCAUGGUGAUAUUUGUUAAAGAAAUUCGCUGAUAGAUGGGCAUGCGUUCCAUUAGGUAGUUGGUGAGGUAACGGCUCACCAAGCCGACGAUGGAUAGGGGAACUGAGAGGUUGGUCCCCCACACUGGUACUGAGACACGGACCAGACUCCUACGGGAGGCAGCAGUGAGGAAUAUUGGUCAAUGGGCGAGAGCCUGAACCAGCCAAGUCGCGUGAAGGAAGAAGGAUCUAUGGUUCGUAAACUUCUUUUGCUGGGGAAUAAAGUGCAGGACGUGUCCUGUUUUGUAUGUACCCUGAGAAUAAGGAUCGGCUAACUCCGUGCCAGCCGCCGCGGUAA